AUUGAACGCUGGCGGCAUGCUUUACACAUGCAAGUCGAACGGUAACAGGCCGCAAGGUGCUGACGAGUGGCGAACGGGUGAGUAAUGCAUCGGAACGUGCCCGGUCGUGGGGGAUAACGCAGCGAAAGCUGCGCUAAUACCGCAUACGAUCUGAGGAUGAAAGCGGGGGACCGUAAGGCCUCGCGCGAUCGGAGCGGCCGAUGUCAGAUUAGGUAGUGGGUGGGGUAAAGGCUCACCAAGCCAACGAUCUGUAGCUGGUCUGAGAGGACGACCAGCCACACUGGGACUGAGACACGGCCCAGACUCCUACGGGAGGCAGCAGUGGGGAAUUUUGGACAAUGGGCGAAAGCCUGAUCCAGCAAUGCCGCGUGCAGGAAGAAGGCCUUCGGGUUGUAAACUGCUUUUGUACGGAGCGAAAAGGUCUCCUCUAAUACAGGGGGCUCAUGACGGUACCGUAAGAAUAAGCACCGACUAACUACGUGCCAGCCGCCGCGGUAA
This 498-nucleotide ribosomal RNA is filed under the name uncultured bacterium. RNAcentral's name for it is "partial 16S ribosomal RNA". It matches the Rfam family "Bacterial small subunit ribosomal RNA", at positions 29 to 523 of the family's 1533-position model. The record is from RNAcentral.